UACGUAGGGGGCUAGCGUUGUCCGGAAUCAUUGGGCGUAAAGCGCGUGUAGGCGGUCCGGUAAGUCCGCUGUGAAAGUCGGGGGCUCAACCCUCGGAUGCCGGUGGAUACUGUCGGGCUUGAGUACGGAAGAGGCGAGUGGAAUUCCUGGUGUAGCGGUGAAAUGCGCAGAUAUCUGGAGGAACACCGGUGGCGAAGGCGGCAUCCUGGACCGGUAUUGACGCUGAGGCGCGAAAGCCAGGGGAGCAAACGGG
RNAcentral lists this ribosomal RNA (253 nucleotides) under uncultured bacterium. Its description in RNAcentral is "partial 16S ribosomal RNA". It matches the Rfam family "Bacterial small subunit ribosomal RNA", at positions 524 to 776 of the family's 1533-position model. The record is from RNAcentral.